UUAUAAACUGUGAAUGAGAGAGUAGAUAUUAGGAAAUUUUCAGGGAGAAUAAGUCAUAGACUGUAAGCUUAUUUAAAUGAAAUAAUAUUGAAGUUCACUCAGGAGUUCUAGCUGUGAAAUUAAGUAGUAGCUAGCGGUCAAUGCCGUUAAAUUUUAAGUUGGAUUCUUAUAGUGUAUUUUUAUAAGUUUCAAUUAGGGUGGUAACGCGGAUAAUUCGUCCCUUUU
RNAcentral lists this non-coding RNA (225 nucleotides) under Clostridium botulinum. Its description in RNAcentral is "T-box sequence". It matches the Rfam family "T-box leader". From Rfam's summary of the family: Uncharged tRNA acts as the effector for transcription antitermination of genes in the T-box leader family. T-boxes are found upstream of many aminoacyl-tRNA synthetase genes and some amino acid biosynthetic genes usually in Gram-positive bacteria. The record is from RNAcentral. Lineage: Bacteria; Bacillati; Bacillota; Clostridia; Eubacteriales; Clostridiaceae.